RNAcentral lists this unclassified non-coding RNA (240 nucleotides) under soil metagenome. Its description in RNAcentral is "partial contains 5.8S ribosomal RNA, internal transcribed spacer 2, and large subunit ribosomal RNA". The record is from RNAcentral.
AACGGUCUAUACCUGCGGUACCUGCGGAAGGAUCAUUACCGAGUACUCCUGCUCUUGCAGGAACUCCCAUCCUUGAUUACUUGGCGUUGCUUCGGCGAGACGUUGGAAACAGCCAUUGACGUUGAACUCGACGUCGGUGCGUGCUUGCCGGAGUCCAAACUCUUGAACUUUGUUUGGUCAGAGAAACAAGCAAAUAAAUAAAAACUUUUAGCAACGGAUCUCUAGAUCGGAAGAGCACAC